GGCGAACGGGUGAGUAACACGUGGGUGAUCUGCCCUGCACUUCGGGAUAAGCCUGGGAAACUGGGUCUAAUACCGGAUAGGAGCCAUUUUUAGUGUGAUGGUUGGAAAGUUUUUCGGUGUAGGAUGAGCUCGCGGCCUAUCAGCUUGUUGGUGGGGUAAUGGCCUACCAAGGCGACGACGGGUAGCCGGCCUGAGAGGGUGAUCGGCCACAUUGGGACUGAGAUACGGCCCAG
This 233-nucleotide ribosomal RNA is filed under the name uncultured Actinomycetales bacterium. Its description in RNAcentral is "partial 16S ribosomal RNA". It matches the Rfam family "Bacterial small subunit ribosomal RNA", at positions 97 to 334 of the family's 1533-position model. The record is from RNAcentral. Lineage: Bacteria; Bacillati; Actinomycetota; Actinomycetes; Actinomycetales.